CCCUUAGAUGUUCUGGGCCGCACGCGCGCUACACUGUUCGACGCAGCGAGUCUUAACCUUGACCGAAAGGUUUGGGUAAUCUUCAGCAAAGUCGAACGUGAUGGGGAUCGAUCAUUGCAAUUAUUGAUCGUGAACGAGGAAUUCCUAGUAAGUGCAAGUCAUCAGCUUGCGCUGAUUACGUCCCUGCCCUUUGUACACACCGCCCGUCGCUACUACCGAUUGAAUGGUUUAGUGAGAUCUCUGGAUUGACGCUGGCUAGGGGGCGACCCUUGGCCAGGCUGUCGAGAAACUGCUCAAACUUGAUCAUUUAGAGGAAGUAAAAGUUGUAACA
This 331-nucleotide ribosomal RNA is filed under the name uncultured eukaryote. RNAcentral's name for it is "partial 18S ribosomal RNA". It matches the Rfam family "Eukaryotic small subunit ribosomal RNA", at positions 1470 to 1796 of the family's 1831-position model. The record is from RNAcentral.